This 495-nucleotide ribosomal RNA is filed under the name uncultured bacterium. Its description in RNAcentral is "partial 16S ribosomal RNA". It matches the Rfam family "Bacterial small subunit ribosomal RNA", at positions 30 to 507 of the family's 1533-position model. The record is from RNAcentral.
UGAACGCUGGCGGCGUGCCUAAUACAUGCAAGUCGAGCGACCAGACGAGGAGCUUGCUCCUCUGACGUUAGCGGCGGACGGGUGAGUAACACGUGGAUAACCUACCUAUAAGACUGGGAUAACUUCGGGAAACCGGAGCUAAUACCGGAUAAUAUAUUGAACCGCAUGGUUCAAUAGUGAAAGACGGUUUUGCUGUCACUUAUAGAUGGAUCCGUGCCGCAUUAGCUAGUUGGUAAGGUAACGGCUUACCAAGGCAACGAUGCGUAGCCGACCUGAGAGGGUGAUCGGCCACACUGGAACUGAGACACGGUCCAGACUCCUACGGGAGGCAGCAGUAGGGAAUCUUCCGCAAUGGGCGAAAGCUUGACGGAGCAACGCCGCGUGAGUGAUGAAGGUCUUCGGAUCGUAAAACUCUGUUAUUAGGGAAGAACAAAUGUGUAAGUAACUAUGCACGUCUUGACGGUACCUAAUCAGAAAGCCACGGCUAACUACGUG